UUCUAGUGAUGUCAUGCUACUGACUGAGG
Molecule: non-coding RNA, 29 nt
Filed under: Cricetulus griseus (Chinese hamster)
Lineage: Eukaryota; Metazoa; Chordata; Mammalia; Rodentia; Cricetidae
Source: RNAcentral